Molecule: ribosomal RNA, 226 nt
Filed under: uncultured bacterium
Lineage: Bacteria
Description: partial 16S ribosomal RNA
Rfam family: Bacterial small subunit ribosomal RNA
Source: RNAcentral
GCGUUAUCCGGAUUCACUGGGUUUAAAGGGUGCGUAGGCGGGUAUGUAAGUCAGUGGUGAAAUACCGGAGCUUAACUUCGGAACUGCCAUUGAUACUAUAUAUCUUGAAUAUUGUGGAGGUAAGCGGAAUAUGUCAUGUAGCGGUGAAAUGCUUAGAGAUGACAUAGAACACCGAUUGCGAAGGCAGCUUGCUACGCAAAUAUUGACGCUGAGGCACGAAAGCGUG